This 253-nucleotide ribosomal RNA is filed under the name uncultured bacterium. RNAcentral describes it as "partial 16S ribosomal RNA". It matches the Rfam family "Bacterial small subunit ribosomal RNA", at positions 524 to 776 of the family's 1533-position model. The record is from RNAcentral.
UACAGAGGUGGCAAGCGUUGUUCGGAAUUACUGGGCGUAAAGGGCGCGUAGGCGGCCCGCUAAGUCGAACGUGAAAUCCCCGAGCUCAACUCGGGAACUGCGUCCGAUACUGGCGGGCUUGAAUCCGGGAGAGGGAUGCGGAAUUCCAGGUGUAGCGGUGAAAUGCGUAGAUAUCUGGAGGAACACCGGUGGCGAAGGCGGCAGCCUGGACCGGCAUUGACGCUGAGGCGCGAAAGCGAGGGGAGCAAACGGG